This 818-nucleotide long non-coding RNA is filed under the name Toxoplasma gondii VEG. The record is from RNAcentral. Lineage: Eukaryota; Apicomplexa; Conoidasida; Eucoccidiorida; Sarcocystidae.
GGGGGAUUACAAGAGGGGACGGACUCUCGAGUAAGCUCGUUUCCUUUGCGAAAAAGCAAGUUCCCGAGGAAAAAUCAUCCACGGGGUCUGCGCCUGCUCGAGGGUACACAGAGGGCAAGACCUCGUGGCAGCGAAGGAUGCUUUGUGUAAGACAGCAAAAGAAAAGCGGCUAAUCAGUGUUUUUUUUCAUUACAGAUGCGAGAUACUGUUUACCGGAUGACGCGUUUCUUUCUGAACAAUCAAUUCGGUCGGUUUUGUUUAGUGCCGGGCCUCAAAAUCGUCGAGAGAGGCUGCGUCGAAUUUUCAGCGACUAGCAGCUUGCUAGCAGCCCCACGGAGAGGUGGGGCUAUCGCCAACAAGAGCGACUAACCAGAGAGUUAGGAAAUGCGUAAAAAUGUGCCAAGGGAUUUUCAACGGCGAAGCAUUCCAGGGCAGUCGGUUUCUACGUGAAGCGAAGGCCCAGCUUUGGGGGUGGAGUUCUGGUGGGGUCGCGGUCAAGGCGCCAUACCAAAUGUCAAGGACACCCGCUUGAGAUACGAUCAUCGGAAUACGUAGGUCUGUCUAUUCAUAUUAACGAUAAUGGAUAUGUCAGUUGUCUGCGUAUGCUUACUGAUAUAGAUUUCAUUCUGUGCUUGUCGGAGCCACUUUGGGAUUCCUCAAUCAAAGUCUGCACAGCUCCUUGAAAUAUGCCGGCGCUGUUGAGUCGCGGAGCAAGGGUAACAGUUUUGUUUUCCAGUUUCCUCUCGCUGGUAAUGCCGGUGAUAACAUCCAUUCAUUCGCCUGGAACGUUGCUGAAGUGGAAUAACCUCAAUGUCGCC